Molecule: ribosomal RNA, 1598 nt
Filed under: Hyloxalus vertebralis (Boulenger's rocket frog)
Lineage: Eukaryota; Metazoa; Chordata; Amphibia; Anura; Dendrobatidae
Description: 16S ribosomal RNA
Rfam family: Bacterial large subunit ribosomal RNA
Source: RNAcentral
GCUAACUAUCCAGCCCCACUUUUCCUCAUUAACUACCUUAAUCUUAUAUCUUAAAUUAAAACAUUUUACCAAUCUAGUAAAGGCGAUUAAAAAAUUUGUUGGAGCCAUAACUACAGUACCGCAAGGGAAAGAUGAAAUAAAAAUGAAAAAAUUUUUAAGCACGAAAAAGCAGAGCUUAAUUCUCGUACCUUUUGCAUCAUGGUUUAACUAGUCUAACCAAGCAAAAAGACUUUUUAGUUUGACUUCCCGAACCUAGGCGAGCUAUUUUAAGACAGCUUUAUGAGCGAAUCCGUCUCUGUUGCAAAAGAGUGGAAAGAUCCUAAAAUAGGGGUGACAGACCUAACGAGCCUAGUGAUAGCUGGUUGCUCAUGAAAAGGAUUUUAGUCCCGCUUAAAGACAUACUUAUAUUAAUAAAUUUAUCUUUAAAGUAAUUCAAAUAAGGUACAGCCUAUUUGAAAAAGGAUACAACCUCAACUCUUGGGUUACUUUCUAUGAACUAAUGAAAAAGUGGGCCUAAAAGCAGCCAUCUCUAUUAAAAGCGUCAUAGCUUACUCACCAAUUCACAUAAUUCCUUUAUUCUUCCAUAACCCUUUAUCUUUAAAGAGCAACUCUAUAUCUUUAUAGAAAAUUUUAUGUUAAAACUAGUAAUAAGAAGAAAACCUUCUCUUUAAUGUUAGUGUACAUCAGAAAGGAUACCCCACUGAUUCCUAACGUCCUUAAUCCCACAGUAUUAACUCACCAAGAAAAACUUACUUUUAUUUACGUUAACCUAACACAAGUACAUUUUAAGAAAGAUUAAAAGAAAAAGAAGGAACUCGGCAAAUAUUAGCCUCGCCUGUUUACCAAAAACAUCGCCUCCUGAUCCUAUAUAGGAGGUCCAGCCUGCCCAGUGACAUUAUUUAACGGCCGCGGUAUCCUAACCGUGCGAAGGUAGCGUAAUCACUUGUUCUUUAAAUGAGGACUAGUAUGAAUGGCUUCACGAGGGCUAUACUGUCUCCUUUUUCUAAUCAAUGAAACUAAUCUUCUCGUGAAGAAGCGAGAAUAAAUCUAUAAGACGAGAAGACCCUAUGGAGCUUUAAACGAAAAGAUACCUACUUUCCCUCUCCUAUCUCCCGAGAAUAACACAUAUCUGAGUAUUUUAUCUUAAGUUUUAGGUUGGGGUGACCACGGAGAAAAAACAAUCCUCCAUGUUGAAAGAAAUUUUAAUCUCUUAGCAAAGAGCUACAGCUCUAUGCAUCAAUAAAUUGACUUUCAUUGACCCAAUAAUUUGAUCAACGAACCAAGUUACCCUAGGGAUAACAGCGCAAUCUAUUUCAAGAGCUCAUAUCGACAAAUAGGUUUACGACCUCGAUGUUGGAUCAGGGUAUCCUAGUGGUGCAGCCGCUACUGACGGUUCGUUUGUUCAACGAUUAAAACCCUACGUGAUCUGAGUUCAGACCGGAGUAAUCCAGGUCAGUUUCUAUCUAUAAAGAGCUUUUUCUAGUACGAAAGGACCGAUAAAGCAUGGCCAAUGCCCCCAUUAAGCCAUAAAUUUUUAACUUAUGCUAAAAACUUAAUAAUUAAAAACCUCCAACUAUCUCUCUAGACAAGAGACUUUA